GACGAACGCUGGCGGCGUGCUUAACACAUGCAAGUCGAACGGAAAGGCCCUGCUUUUGUGGGGUGCUCGAGUGGCGAACGGGUGAGUAACACGUGAGUAACCUGCCCUUGACUUUGGGAUAACUUCAGGAAACUGGGGCUAAUACCGGAUAGGAGCUCCUGCUGCAUGGUGGGGGUUGGAAAGUUUCGGCGGUUGGGGAUGGACUCGCGGCUUAUCAGCUUGUUGGUGGGGUAGUGGCUUACCAAGGCUUUGACGGGUAGCCGGCUUGAGAGGGUGACCGGCCACAUUGGGACUGAGAUACGGCCCAGACUCCUACGGGAGGCAGCAGUGGGGAAUAUUGCACAAUGGGCGGAAGCCUGAUGCAGCAACGCCGCGUGCGGGAGGACGGCCUUCGGGUUGUAAACCGCUUUCGCCUGUGACGAAGCGUGAGUGACGGUAAUGGGUAAAGAAGCACCGGCUAACUACGUG
RNAcentral lists this ribosomal RNA (468 nucleotides) under uncultured bacterium. RNAcentral describes it as "partial 16S ribosomal RNA". It matches the Rfam family "Bacterial small subunit ribosomal RNA", at positions 28 to 507 of the family's 1533-position model. The record is from RNAcentral.